CUGAAUUUUCACCUGAAGUCUCUGCUUUCAUCACCAAAUUCGACACCCUAUUUCAGACCCCCACUUUUCUUCCACCCUCGUGACCCACUAAUCACACUAUUCACCUCAUCCCCAGUGCUGAACCUAUCAAUGUUCGUCCUUACAGGUACCUAUAUUUCCAAAAACAGGAAAUCGAAAGUUAGGUUGAGGCAAUGUUGCAA
Molecule: unclassified non-coding RNA, 200 nt
Filed under: uncultured bacterium
Lineage: Bacteria
Description: contains 16S-23S intergenic spacer region
Source: RNAcentral